UUGAAUUGAAGAGUUUGAUCAUGGCUCAGAUUGAACGCUGGCGGCAGGCUUAACACAUGCAAGUCGAACGGUAGCGGAGAGUACUUGUACUUUUCGUGAGAGUGGCGGACGGGUGAGUAAUGCUUGGGAAUCUGGCUUAUGGAGGGGGAUAACUACGGGAAACUGUAGCUAAUACCGCGUAAUAUCUUCGGAUUAAAGUAUGGGAUCGCAAGACCAUAUGCCAUAAGAUGAGCCCAAGUGGGAUUAGGUAGUUGGUGGGGUAAAGGCCUACCAAGCCGACGAUCUCUAGCUGGUCUGAGAGGAU
This 304-nucleotide ribosomal RNA is filed under the name Lonepinella koalarum. Its description in RNAcentral is "partial 16S ribosomal RNA". It matches the Rfam family "Bacterial small subunit ribosomal RNA", at positions 1 to 301 of the family's 1533-position model. Lineage: Bacteria; Pseudomonadati; Pseudomonadota; Gammaproteobacteria; Pasteurellales; Pasteurellaceae. The record is from RNAcentral.